Xyrichtys novacula (pearly razorfish) is the source of this 643-nucleotide non-coding RNA. NCBI's taxonomy places the organism in Eukaryota, Metazoa, Chordata, Actinopteri, Labriformes, Labridae. The record is from the annotation of a GenBank genome assembly.
GUGCCAGUCUAUGCAGCGGGAACAAGGACAGAGGAAAAAAUAUGGCGGACGAUACGAAAAGUAAGCAGAUAGUCUAAUUUUAUUUAAUUGAAGAAUGGCAUUGAUAAGGGAAUUGUUAAAGAAUUGAAUCUAUAAGCAGAAUCGAUAAUGGCAUCGAUAAAAUCUUAUCAAUUCUCAUUCCUACUAUAGGAUGGAUUUUAACACCUUUAAACAACUUCUGCAAACUAUAGUCUAUUGUAGCAGUGUCAAUUUUUUUCAUGGCUUUAUUUCACUUUACAUCUCCUAUCAGCAUAAAAGGUGUUUUUAUCAAUAAUAAUCAGACUGAAGAGAAAGAUAUUCACACAUGGAGGGCUUUCAUUUCAAGUCAUAACCAGGUACCUGACUUGUUCUACUAAAUGCAAAUUGGCCUUGAAAAGUGCAUGAAUACUUCGUGUACUGUAUGAAUUAUAUUUAAGGUAAUUUGACGUUUACUUUAGGGAUGCACCAAUCCAAUAUUUGGAUCAGAUAUCAGCUCUGAUAUUGACAAAUUAACCGGAUCGGAUAUCGGAUGAAUGAUGCUGAUCCAGUCUUUUUCUCUUUUAAUUAAUUUUUCUUUUAAUACAUGGAGCUCUUACUUUCUUUUUGCUGUGUGCUAAUGUGCAUU